UGGGCAACCUGCCCCUCUCUCUGGGAUAACCCCGGGAAACCGGAGCUAAUACCGGAUACUCCGGCUGGAUCGCAUGGUCCGGCCGGGAAAGGUCCGCCGGAGAGGGAUGGGCCCGCGGCCUAUCAGCUUGUUGGUGAGGUCACGGCUCACCAAGGCUACGACGGAUAGCUGGUCUGAGAGGACGACCAGCCACACUGGAACUGAGAUACGGUCCAGACUCCUACGGGAGGCA
RNAcentral lists this ribosomal RNA (232 nucleotides) under uncultured bacterium. RNAcentral describes it as "partial 16S ribosomal RNA". It matches the Rfam family "Bacterial small subunit ribosomal RNA", at positions 118 to 350 of the family's 1533-position model. The record is from RNAcentral.